GACUUCAGAUGCCCCCCUUCAGUGCAAAUGCAAGUGACGUCAUCCUUCCUUUCCUCAUGGGGAACAGGUUUGGACUGUGUCCGGCAUGAACUGUCUACUCUCUGGGUACCCGAAAUUCAUCUGGGAAGAAGACAGAUAGGAUGCGAACCUAGUCAGAGUGACUGACACCAUUCAUUUCAAAGAUGUGAUGUGAUCAGUUGCUUUAGACUCCGGAUGCCUUGACUUCUUCAAAAUGACGUGGAAAUGCACUCUGAAUUAUUUCUUUCUUCCAUAAGUUGUAUUUGGGUGUUUCAUCACAGCAACAGGAAAGGAAACUGAGGCAGAUGGUAUCUCAGUUGCUGACCAGAAAAGCGGGGACAAAGAAAUUUGGGUCCCUGGCAAACCUUUGAUGCCUGGCUUUAGGUAUCUGAGUUAUAACUGCAUUUCCUCUCAAUUAUUAAAAUAAAACAUAAGAAAUUCUAAGAGAUA
Molecule: long non-coding RNA, 468 nt
Organism: Mastomys coucha (southern multimammate mouse)
Lineage: Eukaryota; Metazoa; Chordata; Mammalia; Rodentia; Muridae
Exons: 2
Source: RefSeq, a predicted model, not a curated record